Molecule: ribosomal RNA, 496 nt
Filed under: uncultured bacterium
Lineage: Bacteria
Description: bacterial SSU rRNA
Rfam family: Bacterial small subunit ribosomal RNA
Source: RNAcentral
CCUACGGGAGGCAGCAGUAAGGAAUAUUGGACAAUGCUCGCAAGAGUGAUCCAGCCAUGCCGCGUGCAGGAAGAAUGCCCUAUGGGUAGUAAACUGCUUUUGAACUAGAGAAAACCCCAGUACGUGUACUGGGCUGAUAGUAUAGUUAGAAUAAGCAUCGGCUAACUUCGUGCCAGCAGCCGCGGUAAGACGAAGGAUGCAAGCGUUAUCCGGAUUCAUUGGGUUUAAAGGGAGCGUAGGUGGACUGAUAAGUCAGUGGUGAAAUCUCCGAGCUUAACUCGGAAAUUGCCAUUGAUACUGUUGGUCUUGAGUACAGUUGCUGUGGGCGGAAUAUGACAUGUAGUGGUGAAAUCAUAGAGAUGUCAUAGAACACCGAUUGCGAAGGCAGCUCACAAAGCUGUAACUGACACUGAGGCUCGAAAGUGCGGGGAUCAAACAGGAUUAGAUACCCUGGUAGUCCGCACCGUAACGAUGAUAUCNCUNGUGGCGACUAGUG